GAGUUAGUUAAUUAAGUGGCACUGUGUUAAUCUUGCAAAACUCCACUUUCACAGGCUACUCUUUGCUCAAAAUUUGAAUUCUCUGGUCUGGCAGUCAAAGCCUGUCAUCCUCUCCUUCCCAUCUAUCCUUCUAAUCAAGCUUCUCAGAAGGGGAAGCCCGGCUCUGGCCACUUAGGUGUGUGUCCUCCUUAUCCUCUGACCAAAGCUUGUCCUUCCUACAUGUGCUCCUUUGCUAGCACUCUCACCUGAAUGCAUCCCUAUGAUCCUUCCACCUUCCCUCUUUCACUAAGAGAAACCUCAGUCAUCUACCAGUCCUCCAGGUUCACCUCAAGCUCCACUCACACCUGCUGCUGGGAAGGCUCUUCUAGAGCCCCAAGAAGCCACACUAGAUCCUCCAGCCCUUAACCACCUACAGCUCUGGCAGGAUCGCUCCUGUGGCCAUUCACCUUUAUCCUCUUGUUAUUUAAUUGUUUGAAGGGCAAGCGUGUGUUUAUUUUGUUUUCCCACAACUGAGCUGUAAGUUCAUGAAGGGCAAGGGCUGUGGCUUAAACUUCUUUUGUGCACUUGAUGUAAAUAUUCGAAUGAUUUCUCAAUGAGUGAAUAAACAAAAGCAUAUUACUCACAUUGGCAAUGGUGCAAACAAAUAGCAUAAUAACAGUGGCGAUGUGGACCACAAAUAUACCAGCCAGCAAUACCAACAUCUUGGCUUUUGGUUUUUUGGUAACUUGUGAGCAAAGAGAGCUCUUCUCAAGGGUCCCAGCGACAGAGGCGCUCUGAGUGGCGGGUGCUGGCAGCAGCCCUGGUCCGCUCUUCUGGAGGUAUGCGACCGCACUGAGGGGAGGGACCUGCCUCCCGAGGUUAUAAGUUUCCCCUGCUGGUGUACUGGGGUGCGUAAUGGGCGGUUUCUUUUCACCGUGUUUUAAAGGAGUUUCUAUGAAUCAGUCUGGCUUUAAAAAAAAAAAAAAAAAGAUUUGUUGGUAAGCUACGCCCUGCUAAGCUGGCAGUCAGUCAAGAGUGGCUGGGAGUGAGCCAUCAAUUCAAAGAACCCUGUUGUAGGCUGUCUCUGACUCAGACACACAGACCACAGUGGAAAAAGGAGUGACAU
This is a long non-coding RNA of Mandrillus leucophaeus (drill), 1105 nucleotides long. RefSeq lists it as uncharacterized. The transcript is spliced from 3 exons. NCBI's taxonomy places the organism in Eukaryota, Metazoa, Chordata, Mammalia, Primates, Cercopithecidae. The record is from RefSeq and is a predicted model, not a curated record.